This 498-nucleotide ribosomal RNA is filed under the name uncultured bacterium. Its description in RNAcentral is "bacterial SSU rRNA". It matches the Rfam family "Bacterial small subunit ribosomal RNA", at positions 30 to 521 of the family's 1533-position model. The record is from RNAcentral.
AUUGAACGCUGGCGGCAUGCCUUACACAUGCAAGUCGAACGGCAGCGGACCUUCGGGUGCCGGCGAGUGGCGAACGGGUGAGUAAAGUAUCGGAACGUACCUUUCAGUGGGGGAUAACGUAGCGAAAGUUACGCUAAUACCGCAUAUUCUGUGAGCAGGAAAGCAGGGGAUCGCAAGACCUUGCGCUGAUUGAGCGGCCGAUAUCAGAUUAGCUAGUUGGUGAGGUAAAGGCUCACCAAGGCGACGAUCUGUAGCGGGUCUGAGAGGAUGAUCCGCCACACUGGAACUGAGACACGGUCCAGACUCCUACGGGAGGCAGCAGUGGGGAAUUUUGGACAAUGGGGGCAACCCUGAUCCAGCCAUGCCGCGUGAGUGAAGAAGGCCUUCGGGUUGUAAAGCUCUUUCGGUCCGGGAAGAAAUACGCUUAGGUUAAUACCCUGAGUGGAUGACGGUACCGGAAUAAGAAGCACCGGCUAACUACGUGCCAGCAGCCGCGGU